Molecule: ribosomal RNA, 551 nt
Filed under: uncultured bacterium
Lineage: Bacteria
Description: partial 16S ribosomal RNA
Rfam family: Bacterial small subunit ribosomal RNA
Source: RNAcentral
UGGGGAAUAUUGCACAAUGGGCGCAAGCCUGAUGCAGCCAUGCCGCGUGUGUGAAGAAGGCCUUCGGGUUGUAAAGCACUUUCAGCGAGGAGGAAGGUGGUGGACUUAAUACGUUCAUCAAUUGACGUUACUCGCAGAAGAAGCACCGGCUAACUCCGUGCCAGCAGCCGCGGUAAUACGGAGGGUGCAAGCGUUAAUCGGAAUUACUGGGCGUAAAGCGCACGCAGGCGGUUUGUUAAGUCAGAUGUGAAAUCCCCGGGCUCAACCUGGGAACUGCAUUUGAAACUGGCAAGCUAGAGUCUCGUAGAGGGGGGUAGAAUUCCAGGUGUAGCGGUGAAAUGCGUAGAGAUCUGGAGGAAUACCGGUGGCGAAGGCGGCCCCCAUGGACGAAGACUGACGCUCAGGUGCGAAAGCGUGGGGCAGCAAACAGGAUUAGAUACCCUGGUAGUCCACGCUGUAAACGAUGUCGAUUUUGGAGGUUGUGCCCUUGAGGCGUGGCUUCCGGAGCUAACGCGUUAAAUCGACCGCCUGGGGAGUACGGCCGCAAGGUU